CAAUAGCGUAUAUUAAAGUUGUUGCAGUUAAAAAGCUCGUAGUUGGAUUUCUGCCAGGGUGCCAAUGUCCGCCGAAGUGCGUGCGCAGCGGCGCCCUCGCAUCCUUCUGUUAACGCCUCUCGGCAUUUACUUGCCGGUGGUGGGCUCAGAUAAUUUACCUUGAGAAAAUUAGAGUGUUUCAGGCAGGCUAGGCCGGAAUACAUUAGCAUGGAAUAAUGGAAUAGGACUACGGUCUCGUUGUUGGUUUGAGGGACUGGAGUAAUGAUUAAUAGGGAUAGUUGGGGGCAUUAGUAUUUAAUUGUCAGAGGUGAAAUUCUUGGAUUAUCGGAAGAUGAACUUCUGCGAAAGCAUCUGCCAAGGAUGUUUUCAUUGAUCAAGAACGAAAGUUAGGGGAUCGAAGACGAUCAGAUACCGU
This 415-nucleotide ribosomal RNA is filed under the name uncultured eukaryote. RNAcentral's name for it is "SSU rRNA". It matches the Rfam family "Eukaryotic small subunit ribosomal RNA", at positions 592 to 1018 of the family's 1831-position model. The record is from RNAcentral.